RNAcentral lists this ribosomal RNA (468 nucleotides) under uncultured bacterium. Its description in RNAcentral is "partial 16S ribosomal RNA". It matches the Rfam family "Bacterial small subunit ribosomal RNA", at positions 28 to 507 of the family's 1533-position model. The record is from RNAcentral.
GACGAACGCUGGCGGCGUGCUUAACACAUGCAAGUCGAACGGAAAGGCCCUGCUUUUGUGGGGUGCUCGAGUGGCGAACGGGUGAGUAACCCGUGAGUAACCUGCCCUUGACUUUGGGAUAACUUCAGGAAACUGGGGCUAAUACCGGAUAGGAGCUCCUGCUGCAUGGUGGGGGUUGGAAAGUUUCGGCGGAUGGGGAUGGACUCGGGGCUUAUCAGCUUGUUGGUGGGGUAGUGGCUUACCAAGGCUUUGACGGGUAGCCGGCCUGAGAGGGUGACCGGCCACAUUGGGACUGAGAUACGGCCCAGACUCCUACGGGAGGCAGCAGGGGGGAAUAUUGCACAAUGGGCGGAAGCCUGAUGCAGAAACGCCGCGUGCGGGAUGACCGCCUUCGGGUUGUAAACCGCUUUCGCCUGUGACGAAGCGUGAGUGACGGUAAUGGGUAAAGAAGCACCGGCUAACUACGUG